UGUGUCGGUCACCUUGGUCUAUGAGAAUAUUAAACACAGGACGCAGAUGGAUUCAUGACAAAAUUGUGUUUUGGUGAUGGUGAUGUGUUUGUACAUCUUACUUUACUGAACAUUCUUGCUGCUUACAAUUAUCUCUAUUUAUAAUGAACUUGGCCCAGUAGUUUCUGUGGAAAAUGUUAGUAAAAAUUUACAAAUUUUAUGAAAAUUGUUAAAAAU
Molecule: long non-coding RNA, 216 nt
Filed under: Mytilus galloprovincialis (Mediterranean mussel)
Lineage: Eukaryota; Metazoa; Mollusca; Bivalvia; Mytilida; Mytilidae
Source: RNAcentral